GCCCUGCUCCUUUACCCUCAUCAUCACUCACCCACAAGCAAACCUAACGCAAACACAACUGAAACCCAUAGCAGCGCCAAAUGAAAGAUGGGGAAAUAGGGAAAUAGGGCCGCGGGAGAAGGGAGGAGGAGAGGAAGGAGAUUCGCGCCGGCGUGCUGGGCUCCACCGCCGCCGUCGCGUCGUCGCUGUCACUGAAGCUUCGCGCCGCUGUCCAACCGCCGUGCCUCGCCGUCAGUUGCUGCUCAUCCUCAUCGCGAACAGAGGGAAGCGCGAGACCGAGAGGGAGAGAGAAAGCGUGGAGUUGGCGUCGCGCGGAGAGGGACUCGCCGCUCCUUCCCACCGCCGUCGAGCUGCCAUUGACGUGUGUCACCGCGGCUGAGGGUGUCGCCACCACCAAACCCCUGCCGAAGAUGCUUCCACUGCACGCGAGAGGAAGAAGAGCGAUGAGGCAGAACGCGUCCUCGCCGGAGCUCUUGAGCGCCGCCGUCGUUCGUGCCUCCUCCCGCCGCCAAAUCUGCUCCCACUUCUAGGUUCUGGAAUCUGACCCGGACGCCGCUGCCACCAUCCGAGCUCGCUGCUGCUGAUGAUGGUAAGCCCAAACCACCGCCAGCAAAAGGGGUUCAGGCCGCCGCAGGUGUCGCUGCCGGAGAAGGGAGCUGCAUCUCUGUGAUUCCGACCGCCAGGAGUGGUUUUGUGACGUUAGGGACCAUCGCCGGAGCUUCUGCCUACUGCUGCUGUCGCCGGAAAAGGUUGCCGAUGUCGUGAUCGGAAUUUGUCGCCGCAGCCGCUUGAGGUGGCUGCCGGGCUGCUGCCGAGCCGGCCCGGAGACCGUCGCUGUUUCGGUUCAACCGUUCCUCCUUCGGUUCGUUGUUGUAUGUUGCGAUUAGAGUUGUUGAGACUCUUGCGAAAGUGGCUUGGAACCGAGGUUUUGACUGCCGGUAUUUUGAUUGUUGAUUUUGGGUCGAGGCAGAAAGGAUUCUGUGACGCGUUUGGGCUAUGGUUUGCGUUUUGAGGAUAUGGGCGCAGAAGUUACGAAGAAUUUAUUUAGUUGUUGUUGAGAUGCUCUGUAUUGUUUUAGUUAUGGUCUAUUGUACCCUCGCCUUUAUCUUGAUAUAUUCUGUAAGAGGGAUAGGAACUGUAUUGGAUAAUAUUUGUAAUAUCAUUUAUGUAUAUAUAUAUAUACAUGUAUGUACGUUUUAUGAGUUGUUGUAAGUGUAUUGUAUGUAUGGAUGUACGUUGUAUAGCAAAAGUAUCUUUUGGAUCGGUAUUGCGGUUUAAAGUUUUAAACAGGCUCAUAUCUUAGUAUUAAAAAGUAUAAGUGUUGUCGUAAUGUCUUAGCUAUCAGAGUCGUGCAGUCGGAAGUGUGAGCUUUGGUAGUUAGGGUGUUACAGUUUUCUUGCUCAAAAGAAUAUUUGAUUGAUAGAUGUAUAUUUUGAGCAUCGAGUGUUAUCUCCAGAUUAUUUACAAGGUCAGGAGAAAAAGAUAUGCAUGGACAAUAAAGGAGUGGAUGUUGCAGAAGGACAAGGUGCUAUGGUCACUCCUAAUGACAAAACGAAGAACCCCACUAAUCAAUUCCCCCAAAACAAGCUAACGCCUGUCAACACCAUGGACAAUCCAAAGGCUCCUAUUAAUCCAAUAUCUCUUACUAAUCCAACACCUCCAACUAAGCUAGAAUCUCUCACUAAUCCAAAACCUCCAAGUCAGUCGAAGCCUCUUGCCAAUCCAAAUCCUCAAUCUCAGGCAAAGCCUCCUACUAAUCCAAAGCCAAAGCCUCCUACUAAGUCUAAUCUCCCUAAAAGUGUGUCAAUACCCACCCCAAAGAAGGUAAUUGGUGCAACUGCAACACCCAAAUCCACACCAAAGUUUAUUGAAACAUCCAAAUUCACCCUCAAGAAGAAAACGACAACAACCACCCAUAAUUUUAGGUCUUGUAUGAGGAGUGUUGCUAAGGAAAAAGCAGUGAUGAAAGCACGACAUGAGAGAGGUUAUUAAUUAUCCUCUGAUUCAUAGGAUAGUGCCAAAGAUAGUUUGUAUAAGCCAGGGAUCGAAGAUAGUUCUUCUGAUGAUGAUGAUUAUGCUAAUGAUGUUUGUGAGACUAAGAUUGUCAAAAAAGACAUCAGAUUUAAACAUGCUCCUGUCGUUGCAUUUGCUACGGAUAAAGACCAAGUUACUAUUGAGGAUGAUGCAUUUGUUGAGGAGGUCUCGGAUGGGGAUGUAGACCUAUUCUUUGUGGGAGAAUAGGGGAUGAUGCAUAUGAUUCAGGGGGCUGACUCAAACGUGGCAAAUUUGUAGCAUUUUGAAGAAAUGAAGACUCUUCCAAAUUCUGAGGAUGAGAGGUCAGAUGAGGAGUAUGAAGAUGUUUCUCCAAUGUUUAGAGAAGGUAUAAGGUUUGGAGAACUGCAAUUGGACGUUGGCAUGAAAUUCAACACAAAAUGGGACUUUAAAGAGGCUAUCAGGGAGUUCACAAUUCAAGAGGGCAGAUGAAUUAAGUUUACGAAGAAUGACAAUAUGAGGAUGAGGGCUACUUGUAAAGUGAAAGGAUGCCCAUGGGUGGUGUAUGCAUUAAGGGAUCAUGAAGACACUUGUUAGUAAAUAAUGCCCUCGUUAAUGAUCAUACGUGUCCAAGAAAAGAUAAGAACAGGGCAGCCAACAGAAAUUGGGUAGCGAGCAAACUAGUUAAGAAGGUUAGGAAGUACCCAAAUUUUAGGCAU
Arachis duranensis is the source of this 2711-nucleotide long non-coding RNA. RefSeq lists it as uncharacterized. NCBI's taxonomy places the organism in Eukaryota, Viridiplantae, Streptophyta, Magnoliopsida, Fabales, Fabaceae. The transcript is spliced from 4 exons. The record is from RefSeq and is a predicted model, not a curated record.